RNAcentral lists this ribosomal RNA (253 nucleotides) under uncultured bacterium. RNAcentral describes it as "partial 16S ribosomal RNA". It matches the Rfam family "Bacterial small subunit ribosomal RNA", at positions 524 to 776 of the family's 1533-position model. The record is from RNAcentral.
UACGAAGGGGGCUAGCGUUGCUCGGAAUCACUGGGCGUAAAGGGCGCGUAGGCGGUGUGUCAAGUCAGGCGUGAAAGCCCCGGGCUCAACCUGGGAACCGCGCUUGAGACUGGCACGCUGGAGUCCGGGAGAGGAUGGUGGAAUUCCCAGUGUAGAGGUGAAAUUCGUAGAUAUUGGGAAGAACACCGAUGGCGAAGGCAGCCAUCUGGACCGGCACUGACGCUGAGGCGCGAAAGCGUGGGGAGCAAACAGG